AUUGAACGCUGGCGGCAGGCCUAACACAUGCAAGUCGAGCGGAUGAAGGGAGCUUGCUCCUGGAUUCAGCGGCGGACGGGUGAGUAAUGCCUAGGAAUCUGCCUGGUAGUGGGGGAUAACGUCCGGAAACGGGCGCUAAUACCGCAUACGUCCUGAGGGAGAAAGUGGGGGAUCUUCGGACCUCACGCUAUCAGAUGAGCCUAGGUCGGAUUAGCUAGUUGGUGGGGUAAAGGCCUACCAAGGCGACGAUCCGUAACUGGUCUGAGAGGAUGAUCAGUCACACUGGAACUGAGACACGGUCCAGACUCCUACGGGAGGCAGCAGUGGGGAAUAUUGGACAAGGGGCGAAAGCCUGAUCCAGCCAUGCCGCGUGUGUGAAGAAGGUCUUCGGAUUGUAAAGCACUUUAAGUUGGGAGGAAGGGCAGUAAGUUAAUACCUUGCUGUUUGGACGUUACCAACAGAAUAAGCACCGGCUAACUUCGU
This 483-nucleotide ribosomal RNA is filed under the name uncultured bacterium. RNAcentral's name for it is "partial 16S ribosomal RNA". It matches the Rfam family "Bacterial small subunit ribosomal RNA", at positions 30 to 506 of the family's 1533-position model. The record is from RNAcentral.